AACAGCUCAAAUUUGAAAUCUGGCCUCGGCCCGAGUUGUAAUUUGCAGAGGAUGUUUCUGGCGCGGUGCCUUCCGAGUUCCCUGGAACGGGACGCCACAGAGGGUGAGAGCCCCGUAUGGUUGGACACUAAGCCUGUGUGAAACUCCUUCGACGAGUCGAGUAGUUUGGGAAUGCUGCUCAAAAUGGGAGGUAAAUCUCUUCUAAAGCUAAAUACCGGCCAGAGACCGAUAGCGCACAAGUAGAGUGAUCGAAAGAUGAAAAGCACCUUGAAAAGGGGGUUAAACAGUACGUGAAAUUGUUGAAAGGGAAGCGCUUGUGACCAGACUUGCGCCGGGCGGUUCAUCCGGGGUUCUCCCCGGUGCACUCCGCCCGGUUCAGGCCAGCAUCGGUUCUCGUUGGGGGAUAAGAACGAUAGGAACGUGGCCCUCCUUCGGGUGGGUGUUAUAGCCUGUCGUACGAUACCCUGACGGGGACCGAGGUUCGCGCUCCGCAAGGAUGCUGGCGUAAUGGUCAUCAGCGACCCGUCUUGAAACACGGACCAAGGAGUCGUCCAUUAGAGCGAGCGUUUGGGUGUAAAACCCGCACGCGUAAUGAAAGUGAAAUUAGGUGAGAGCUUCGGCGCAUCAUCGACCGAUCCUGAUGUUCUCGGAUGGAUUUGAGUAAGAGUUUUAACGGACGGACCCGAAAGACAGUGAACUAUGCUUGUAUAGGGUGAAGCCAGAGGAAACUCUGGUGGAGGCUCGCAGCGGUUCUGACGUGCAAAUCGAUCGUCAAAUAUGAGCAUGGGGGCGAAAGACUAAUCGAACUG
RNAcentral lists this ribosomal RNA (809 nucleotides) under Aurantioporthe corni. Its description in RNAcentral is "eukaryotic LSU rRNA". It matches the Rfam family "Eukaryotic large subunit ribosomal RNA", at positions 103 to 942 of the family's 3401-position model. The record is from RNAcentral. Lineage: Eukaryota; Fungi; Ascomycota; Sordariomycetes; Diaporthales; Cryphonectriaceae.